RNAcentral lists this ribosomal RNA (274 nucleotides) under uncultured bacterium. Its description in RNAcentral is "partial 16S ribosomal RNA". It matches the Rfam family "Bacterial small subunit ribosomal RNA", at positions 355 to 621 of the family's 1533-position model. The record is from RNAcentral.
UAGGGAAUCUUCGGCAAUGGACGAAAGUCUGACCGAGCAACGCCGCGUGAGUGAAGAAGGUUUUCGGAUCGUAAAACUCUGUUGUUAGAGAAGAACAAGGACGUUAGUAACUGAACGUCCCCUGACGGUAUCUAACCAGAAAGCCACGGCUAACUACGUGCCAGCAGCCGCGGUAAUACGUAGGUGGCAAGCGUUGUCCGGAUUUAUUGGGCGUAAAGCGAGCGCAGGCGGUUUCUUAAGUCUGAUGUGAAAGCCCCCGGCUCAACCGGGGAGG